AGCCUGCCCACUGAUUUAGUUUAAAGGGCCGCGGUAUAUUGACCGUGCGAAGGUAGCAUAAUCAUUAGUCUUUUAAUUGAAGGCUUGUAUGAAUGGUUGGACAAAAAGUAAGCUGUCUCAAUUAUAAUAAUUGAAUUUAACUUUUAAGUGAAAAGGCUUAAAUAAAUUAAGGGGACGAUAAGACCCUAUAAAGCUUGACAAUAAUUUAAUUAUACUAUCAAUUGUUAGUAUAACUUGGUUUUAAUUAAUAUUUGUUGCGUUGGGGCGACGAGAAUAUAAUAGGUAACUGUUCUUAAAUAUUUAAUAACAAAUAUAAUUGGAAAUUAGUAUGAUCCUCUAUUAGCGAUUAAAAGAUUAAGUUACUUUAGGGAUAACAGCGUAAUCUUCUUUGAGAGUCCCUAUCGACAAGAAGGUUUGCGACCUCGAUGUUGAAUUAAGGUAUCCUUAUGAUGCAGCAGUUAUAAAGG
This 467-nucleotide ribosomal RNA is filed under the name Penaeus indicus. RNAcentral's name for it is "partial 16S ribosomal RNA". It matches the Rfam family "Bacterial large subunit ribosomal RNA", at positions 1856 to 2570 of the family's 2925-position model. Lineage: Eukaryota; Metazoa; Arthropoda; Malacostraca; Decapoda; Penaeidae. The record is from RNAcentral.